AGAGUUUGAUCCUGGCUCAGAACGAACGCUGGCGGCGUGCCUAACACAUGCAAGUCGAGCGAGAAAGCCCGCAAGGGUGAGUAAAGCGGCGCACGGGUGCGUAACACGUGGGUAAUCUGCCCGGAAGUCCGGAAUAACUCGCCGAAAGGCGUGCUAAUGCCGGAUAAGACCACGGGAACCUCGGUUCCUGCGGGAAAAGGUGGCCUCUGUAUACAAGCUAUCUCUUCCGGAUGAGCCCGCGGCCCAUCAGCUAGUUGGCGGGGUAAUGGCCCACCAAGGCUACGACGGGUAGCUGGUCUAAGAGGACGAUCAGCCACACUGGAACUGAGACACGGUCCAGACUCCUACGGGAGGCGGCAGUGGGGAAUCUUGCGCAAUGGGCGAAAGCCUGACGCAGCAACGCCGCGUGUGUGAUGAAGGUCUUCGGAUCGUAAAGCACUGUCGCGAGGGACGAAUAAGGUGUCGGCUAACAUCCGGCGCUGAUGACGGUACCUCGAGAGGAAGCACCGGCUAACUCUGUGCCAGCAGCCGCGGUAAUACAGAGGGUGCAAGCGUUGUUCGGAAUUAUUGGGCGUAAAGCGCGUGUAGGCGGUUCAGCAAGUCGGAUGUGAAAGCCCUCGGCUUAACCGAGGAAGGGCGUUCGAAACUACUGAACUUGAGUGCCGGAGAGGGUGGCGGAAUUCCCGGUGUAGAGGUGAAAUUCGUAGAUAUCGGGAGGAACACCAGCGGCGGAGGCGGCCACCUGGACGGUAACUGACGCUGAGACGCGAAAGCGUGGGGAGCAAACAGGAUUAGAUACCCUGGUAGUCCACGCUGUAAACGAUGAGCGCUAGGUGUUGUGGGUGUUGACCCCCGCAGUGCCGAAGCUAACGCAUUAAGCGCUCCGCCUGGGAAGUACGGCCGCAAGGCUAAAACUCAAA
Molecule: ribosomal RNA, 920 nt
Filed under: uncultured bacterium
Lineage: Bacteria
Description: bacterial SSU rRNA
Rfam family: Bacterial small subunit ribosomal RNA
Source: RNAcentral